This 1411-nucleotide ribosomal RNA is filed under the name Salmonella enterica subsp. enterica serovar Infantis str. CVM N19983. RNAcentral describes it as "bacterial LSU rRNA". It matches the Rfam family "Bacterial large subunit ribosomal RNA", at positions 1 to 1524 of the family's 2925-position model. The record is from RNAcentral. Lineage: Bacteria; Pseudomonadati; Pseudomonadota; Gammaproteobacteria; Enterobacterales; Enterobacteriaceae.
GGGUUGUGAGGUUAAGCGACUAAGCGUACACGGUGGAUGCCCUGGCAGUCAGAGGCGAUGAAGGNNCCGAAUGGGGAAACCCAGUGUGACUCGUCACACUAUCAUUAACUGAAUCCAUAGGUUAAUGAGGCGAACCGGGGGAACUGAAACAUCUAAGUACCCCGAGGAAAAGAAAUCAACCGAGAUUCCCCCAGUAGCGGCGAGCGAACGGGGAGGAGCCCAGAGCCUGAAUCAGCAUGUGUGUUAGUGGAAGCGUCUGGAAAGGCGCGCGAUACAGGGUGACAGCCCCGUACACAAAAGCGCAUGUGCUGUGAGCUCGAUGAGUAGGGCGGGACACGUGGUAUCCUGUCUGAAUAUGGGGGGACCAUCCUCCAAGGCUAAAUACUCCUGACUGACCGAUAGUGAACCAGUACCGUGAGGGAAAGGCGAAAAGAACCCCGGCGAGGGGAGUGAAAAAGAACCUGAAACCGUGUACGUACAAGCAGUGGGAGCNNGUGACUGCGUACCUUUUGUAUAAUGGGUCAGCGACUUAUAUUCUGUAGCAAGGUUAACCGAAUAGGGGAGCCGGAGGGAAACCGAGUCUUAAUUGGGCGUUAAGUUGCAGGGUAUAGACCCGAAACCCGGUGAUCUAGCCAUGGGCAGGUUGAAGGUUGGGUAACACUAACUGGAGGACCGAACCGACUAAUGUUGAAAAAUUAGCGGAUGACCUGUGGCUGGGGGUGAAAGGCCAAUCAAACCGGGAGAUAGCUGGUUCUCCCCGAAAGCUAUUUAGGUAGCGCCUCGUGAAUUCAUCUCCGGGGGUAGAGCACUGUUUCGGCUAGGGGGCCAUCCCGGCUUACCAACCCGAUGCAAACUGCGAAUACCGGAGAAUGUUAUCACGGGAGACACACGGCGGGUGCUAACGUCCGUCGUGAAGAGGGAAACAACCCAGACCGCCAGCUAAGGUCCCAAAGUCAUGGUUAAGUGGGAAACGAUGUGGGAAGGCCCAGACAGCCAGGAUGUUGGCUUAGAAGCAGCCAUCAUUUAAAGAAAGCGUAAUAGCUCACUGGUCGAGUCGGCCUGCGCGGAAGAUGUAACGGGGCUAAACCAUGCACCGAAGCUGCGGCAGCGANNGUUGGGUAGGGGAGCGUUCUGUAAGCCUGCGAAGGUGGCCUGUGAGGGUUGCUGGAGGUAUCAGAAGUGCGAAUGCUGACAUAAGUAACGAUAAAGCGGGUGAAAAGCCCGCUCGCCGGAAGACCAAGGGUUCCUGUCCAACGUUAAUCGGGGCAGGGUGAGUCGACCCCUAAGGCGAGGCCGAAAGGCGUAGUCGAUGGGAAACGGGUUAAUAUUCCCGUACUUGGUGUUACUGCGAAGGGGGGACGGAGAAGGCUAUGUUGGCCGGGCGACGGUUGUCCCGGUUUAAGCGUGUAGG